UGAAUAAAGAGGAAGUAACUAAAGCAGACAGAUGUAGAGACAGAGAGAUUCACACAGAGAUCAUUCAGCAGAAAGAAGACUGAACUCAAGUCACAAUGAAGAUCCUCCUCAUCUUCUUCACUUUCUACCUGAUCUCAGAUUCAUGUUGUAAAGUGUCAAAGAGAGUGAUGCUGAAUAUUGGAAAAUCUGCCACCUUCAGCUUUGAAUAUUCAUUCAAUCAUAUACAUGAUCCUGAGAUCAUAUUCAAAGAAGGAAAAGACUCCAUUGAGACGAUUUACAGCAGAUGGAAGAAGAAAGAAAGAUUCAGUAUUUCUGAUGAGAAACAUAAAAACCUCUUCACUGUGAGAAUCACUGGUGUGAGACCAGAUGAUGGAGGAGUUUAUUUGUGUGGAGUUUGGAUCGACAGACACUCAUACAGUUACUCCAUUAUUAAUACUGUUCAUCUACAUAUUAUUGGUGAGUAAAACAAGUUAUCAAUCAGAUCAGUUUUUUAAUGCUUUGAUUCAUAUUUUUGUGUAGUUUUCUCACAUCACAAAUAUAACUUUGAAUGUUGACAGAUUCAUGUUGUGGAGCAUCAGAGACAGUGAGAGUAAAUAGUGGAGAAACUGCUGCUUUCAGCUGUGAAUACUCAAAGGAGCAAAAGUCUCUUAGAAAGAUCAUAUUCAAAACAAGAAAUGAAAUCAUUGAUGAAAUGAUCUCCACUACUGAGAAAUGGUAUCAGAAAGAAAGAUUGAGCAUCUAUGAUAACAGACAAAACCUCUUGAGUGUGAGAAUCACUGCUGUGACACCAGAUGAUGGAGGAGUUUAUUUGUGUGGAGUUUGGAUCAACAGACACUCGAACAAUUACUACAUUAUUACUACUGUUCAUCUACGUAUUAUUACUAAAGUGGGCGUGUCUAGUGUGAGCAGCUACUCAGGAGGUCGUCUGAUGAUCAAGUGUCAACAUCCUCAAUACAAAACCAACCCAAAAUACAUCUGUAAAGAAUCAGACGGAUGCUCAGAGAGGAAGAGUCCAGGAGUUCAGGAUGAAUGGAUGGAGAAUGGAGAUGUUUCUUUAUAUGACGACACCAGAGCAGGAGUCUUGAUGGUGUUUUUUAGAGAGCUGAAAGCUGCAGAUGCAGGAACAUACCGGUGUGGAGUGAAAGUAUCUGACUAUACUGAGAGAUUCACUGAGAUACAGCUGAGCGUCAAACACGAUGCAAAAUACCCAAAGAGAGUGACAGAAUCUGUGUAUCUCGGUGGAGAAGUCAUCAUCACCUGUCAGAUCCCAGAGGAACAUAAAGUUCAUUUCUGUAAAGAGGAUGAUAAUCACAUCUGCCAGAACAUCAGCUCAUCUAAAGUGACAGAAAUGAGUGGUUCAUCAGAGAGAAAUGAAGAGAGAGUUGUUACAGUGAGCAUCAGUAAUGUGAGUGUGAGAGAUGCUGGAGUUUACUGGUGUGGAGCAGAAACCAGAGACACAGAUCUGACUUUCAUCUCCCUGAACACUCAAAUUCAGCUCAACCUCAUCAUGCCUCCAGUAGUGAGACGUGAAGGAGAAUCUGCUGAGAUCAUCUGUCCUUAUGAUUCAAUCUAUAAAUCAAAGCCAAAGUCUCUCUGUAAGGGCAAGUGCUCCACUAGAGACAGAAAUCCUCUCAGUGAGACUGUGAGAGAAGAGAAAGAGACCAAGACUGACAGAUUGACUCUGAAAGAUGACGUCACUGCAAGUGUCUUCACUGGGACCAUCACUGCACUGACAGCAGAGGAUGCUGGGAAAUACUGGUGUGCAGUGACAUUAGAAACAGAGCUCAAUUAUCUUCACACUCAUCUGAUGGUCAUCAUGAACGAGGGUGAGGAAGGUCUCUUCAUCUGAAUAUGUCCAACUCCGGCUGUGAAUUGAUCUUCUUGUGUUUGUAAUCAUUUCCAGAGCUGAACUUGACUAAGUAUGAAGGAGACGACGUGUCAAUCCAGUGCAAACAUCAGGAUGAAGAUCAGAAAAGCUUCUGCAAAGCACAUGAAGCCUCCAUGUGUGUGAAGGAUGGAGUUUCAUUGGAGACAAUCAGAGAUGAUCGAUUCUCUUUCAGUGAUGAAUCAUCUGCUGGAGUCUUUACUGUGAACAUCACUGAUCUGAGAGAAGAGGAUUCUGGGAUAUACUGGUGUGGAGAUCACGUCAUCACUAAAGUCUGUCUAGAAGUCAACAAAAGUAUGUUUUACCUUUACCUGAACUACAUUGUUUCUAUUUAAAGGUGAUUAGUAUCUGUGAUUGUCUUGACGUGGUAGAUUUAGAGAUUAAUUAGCUUUGGGAUUUCCUCAGGUUAUGAAAGCAGAAGUGAAAGAACUGAGCAGCCACAAAUAGAUUUUAGGAAAUUCACAGAUGCAAAUGAUAUCACAUAAUAUCAAAACUAAAACACUACAUGUUAAGAUAUGGGUGCUGUGUUUAAUAUGUAAAAUGUGGUUUAAUGCACAUACUGUGUUUUUUUUUUUACUUUACUGGUAUUACUGGCACCUGUUCUCCAGGGGCUUCUGACAGAAUCAUCACCUCUUGCAUCUUUGUGACUCUGCUGCUGAUGGGAGCGUCUGUCCUGUUUCUUUACAAAUUAGGAUACAUCAAGACACAAGGUGAUGAUAAAAAUCACACAUAAAUUGAAAUUGAAGCAGUUUAGCCAGUUCUCAUCUGAUUCAUUGGAAAAUGGGCCUGCAUUGUUAUCUGUAACCAAUUAUUUGACAAUUUUCCAACCUUAUACCUGAAGACACUGUAAUACUGCACACACAGGCCCAAAAUGACUAUACAGAUAUAUUUUUGAAUAUUAAAAGUAUUAAGUAAGUUUUGUUGUGAGCAUUUGUACUCUGGUUAUAAUCCACAGAUCAGCACCCUUCCCCAGACAGGACAGAGGUGAGCGGUGGAGAGGUGAGGGGGCUUUAGUUUCUUGUUUAUUGAACAUUUUGUUGAAUUUCAUUUGCAGAUGAUGCAGGACUAGAACCAAUCUAAUGAAUUCCAGAACCUGAGAAAUGCCAAAAAAAAUAAAUAAAUAAAAUAAAAAAAAAUACUAGUAAAUGUGUGAUGUAAAACAAAAACUUAAUACUUCAACUCCUGAGAACAUUGUUUUCCAUGCUUGUUUGUAGAGCUGCACAAUUUGGUCAAAAUUGCGUUACUAUAAAUAUACAUAAAAUAAUAAUAAAUAAAAAAAUAAUAAACUGUGAUUAUUAUUAUUAUUAAAUACAAAUAUAAACGUUUCUAAAUAUUGUUUUUAUUAUUAUUGUAAAUGCUCAUGUGUAAAUGAACACAAUGCCAUGCUUCACUCUGCAACAUGCAGCUUAUAUAUCUAAAUUAAUCACACAACCCUCCUAAUCAAUCUAGUUUAUUUCUCUCAUCUAUUUUCAGGCAUUUCAUGCUGCAUGUGACUAUGAGAAUAUCAGAGACGUCAGACAGUGCGUAGUCGUGGGAACUGAGGAAACUGUGUUAUAUUCCACUGCCACGCGUCCCACAGACUCGUCUGAUACACACAACACACUCUAUUCUAAAUUACAGUUACCCACAAACCCUUCUGAUGGGCUUCUGUAUGCUUCAGUCCAUUUCCAGAAGCAUGACGAGUCUCUCAGCGAUGCUAAAGUAACCUCCAAUAAAGAGGAUUUUUACUGUAAUUACACCACGGUCAGUCCCCGCAUGUCACUCAACUAAUUCAACUCUUAAAAAUAAAGGGUUCAGAGGGGUGUUUUUUUUUUUUUUUUUGCUGCAGUGAUGCCAAAGAAGAACCCUUUUUGGUUCCCCAAAGAACCUUUCUAUUAACUGUUCUUAAAAGAGCUGUGUUUUUCUUAGUGUUGAGAACAUUGUAAAGAAUGUUUUCAGCUAAUGCUUGUGAAUUGUGAAGAUUCCACUGAUGCUCUUCAUUGAACUGUCAAGGCUGAUGAAGAACAUUUAUUGGGAAUCUGGUCACGAGUGUAGUGAACUUUUAAUGUGUACAGUGACUCCUAACAUACACUUCAGUGACACUUAAAAAAGCAUUUAAUUAGAUACAAAAUUAUAAAUAAAUACUGUACAACAAAUCAAAUACCAUUUAUUGUAAAUAAAGGUAGCAAAAGUACUUUUUUCUCUUAUAUUUUAUCUCGAAAUAAGAAGUAUUACAUGACUUUGUGUUUGUUUGUGAUUAGUGUUAACAUAUCCACAGUGAACUGCCCUUCUCUACACUCAUAAAUGUGAAAGAAAUUCAUAAAUGAUGAAAACCUAGUAGCAUUUGUUUACACAUGAUCUUCUCUGUUCAGGUUACCAUUGUUAGUCAUUUUAUCACACUACCAAGAAAUCACAGAUAACUGAAACUGUAGAUAAACAAAUUAAACACAGGAGCAGAGCAUCUGCUGGAAAUGUAGAAGAAAACAACUCGACUGGACAUUUGUUUUACACACCCUUGCACCCAAAAGCAUCUGCAAACGACUGAUGCGUAAAAAUGAAGGAAGAAAAAGGAACCAUAACAUAUGUAUUUUCAUUAUGAAUGUACUUACUGCAACUGUUUAUUUAUUCGUUCUAACUGCACUGCGUUUGUUCAGAGAUGCCUCAUAGGCAUAGAAGGACCAUAUGAAAUAAAGCAGUGUGUUUAAGAGCCUAGUGUGUGUGUGUUUGUUAUAUACAGUUUUUGGUUUUUCAUUUAUCAG
Molecule: long non-coding RNA, 4623 nt
Organism: Carassius auratus (goldfish)
Lineage: Eukaryota; Metazoa; Chordata; Actinopteri; Cypriniformes; Cyprinidae
Source: Ensembl